UACGUAGGGUGCGAGCGUUGUCCGGAAUUAUUGGGCGUAAAGAGCUUGUAGGCGGUUUGUCGCGUCUGCUGUGAAAAUCCGGGGCUCAACCCCGGACUUGCAGUGGGUACGGGCAGACUAGAGUGUGGUAGGGGAGACUGGAAUUCCUGGUGUAGCGGUGAAAUGCGCAGAUAUCGGGAGGAACACCUGAGGCGAAGGCGGGUUACUGGGCUGAUACUGACGCUGAUGCGCGAAAGCCAGGGGAGCAAACGGG
This 253-nucleotide ribosomal RNA is filed under the name uncultured bacterium. Its description in RNAcentral is "partial 16S ribosomal RNA". It matches the Rfam family "Bacterial small subunit ribosomal RNA", at positions 524 to 776 of the family's 1533-position model. The record is from RNAcentral.